RNAcentral lists this ribosomal RNA (497 nucleotides) under uncultured bacterium. Its description in RNAcentral is "partial 16S ribosomal RNA". It matches the Rfam family "Bacterial small subunit ribosomal RNA", at positions 28 to 507 of the family's 1533-position model. The record is from RNAcentral.
GAUGAACGCUGGCGGCGUGCCUAAUACAUGCAGGUCGAGCUAACGGACGAGAAGCUUGCUUUUCUGAUGUUAGCGGCGGACGGGUGAGUAACACGUGGAUAACCUACCUAUAAGACUGGGAUAACUUCGGGAAACCGGAGCUAAUACCGGAUAAUAUUUUGAACCGCAUGGUUCAAAAGUGAAAGACGGUCUUGCUGUCACUUAUAGAUGGAUCCGCGCUGCAUUAGCUAGUUGGUAAGGUAACGGCUUACCAAGGCAACGAUGCAUAGCCGACCUGAGAGGGUGAUCGGCCACACUGGAACUGAGACACGGUCCAGACUCCUACGGGAGGCAGCAGUAGGGAAUCUUCCGCAAUGGGCGAAAGCCUGACGGAGCAACGCCGCGUGAGUGAUGAAGGUCUUCGGAUCGUAAAACUCUGUUAUUAGGGAAGAACAUAUGUGUAAGUAACUGUGCACAUCUUGACGGUACCUAAUCAGAAAGCCACGGCUAACUACGUG